RNAcentral lists this ribosomal RNA (472 nucleotides) under uncultured bacterium. RNAcentral describes it as "partial 16S ribosomal RNA". It matches the Rfam family "Bacterial small subunit ribosomal RNA", at positions 30 to 507 of the family's 1533-position model. The record is from RNAcentral.
AGUGAACGCUGGCGGUAGGCCUAACACAUGCAAGUCGAACGGCAGCACAGUAAGAGCUUGCUCUUACGGGUGGCGAGUGGCGGACGGGUGAGGAAUACAUCGGAAUCUACUUUUUCGUGGGGGAUAACGUAGGGAAACUUACUCUAAUACCGCAUACGACCUACGGGUGAAAGCAUGGGAUCUUCGGACCCUGCGCGUGUGAAUGGGCCGAUGGCGGAUUAGCUAGUUGGCGGGGUAAAGGCCCACCAAUGCGACGAUCGGUAGCUGGUCUGAGAGGAGGACCGGCAACAGUGGGACUGAGAUACGGCCAAGACUGCUACGGGAGGAAGCAGUGGGGAAUAGUGAACAAUGGGAGGAAGCAUGAUGCAGCAACGCCGCGUGCGGGAUGACGGCCUUCGGGUUGUAAAAAGCUUGCGCCUGUGACGAAGCGUGAGUGACGGUAAUGGGUAAAGAAGCACCGGCUAACUACGUG